UGGGGAAUAUUGGACAAUGGGGGAAACCCUGAUCCAGCAAUGCCGCGUGAGUGAAGAAGGCCUUAGGGUUGUAAAGCUCUUUCGCCCGCGAAGAUAAUGACGGUAGCGGGAGAAGAAGCCCCGGCUAACUCCGUGCCAGCAGCCGCGGUAAUACGGAGGGGGCUAGCGUUGUUCGGAAUUACUGGGCGUAAAGCGUACGUAGGCGGAUGCGCAAGUUGGGGGUGAAAUCCCGGGGCUUAACCUCGGAAUUGCCCUCAGAACUGCACGUCUUGAGACCGAGAGAGGUAAGGGGAAUUCCUAGUGUAGAGGUGAAAUUCGUAGAUAUUAGGAAGAACACCAGUGGCGAAGGCGCCUUACUGGCUCGGUACUGACGCUGAGGUACGAAAGCGUGGGGAGCAAACA
This 402-nucleotide ribosomal RNA is filed under the name uncultured bacterium. Its description in RNAcentral is "bacterial SSU rRNA". It matches the Rfam family "Bacterial small subunit ribosomal RNA", at positions 355 to 774 of the family's 1533-position model. The record is from RNAcentral.